RNAcentral lists this transfer RNA (74 nucleotides) under Putridiphycobacter roseus. It matches the Rfam family "tRNA". From Rfam's summary of the family: Transfer RNA (tRNA) molecules are approximately 80 nucleotides in length. Their secondary structure includes four short double-helical elements and three loops (D, anti-codon, and T loops). Further hydrogen bonds mediate the characteristic L-shaped molecular structure. tRNAs have two regions of fundamental functional importance: the anti-codon, which is responsible for specific mRNA codon recognition, and the 3' end, to which the tRNAs corresponding amino acid is attached (by aminoacyl-tRNA synthetases). tRNAs cope with the degeneracy of the genetic code in two manners: having more than one tRNA (with a specific anti-codon) for a particular amino acid; and 'wobble' base-pairing, i.e. permitting non-standard base-pairing at the 3rd anti-codon position. The record is from Rfam by way of RNAcentral. Lineage: Bacteria; Pseudomonadati; Bacteroidota; Flavobacteriia; Flavobacteriales; Crocinitomicaceae.
GCCUCUGUAGCUCAGUUGGCUAGAGCAGCUGAUUUGUAAUCAGCAGGUCGUGGGUUCGAGUCCCUCCAGAGGCU